UCCGUCCAAGGCUAAAUA
RNAcentral lists this small nuclear RNA (18 nucleotides) under Arabidopsis thaliana (thale cress). RNAcentral's name for it is "snRNA_00969". The record is from RNAcentral. Lineage: Eukaryota; Viridiplantae; Streptophyta; Magnoliopsida; Brassicales; Brassicaceae.